Long non-coding RNA from Marmota monax (woodchuck), 711 nucleotides. RefSeq lists it as uncharacterized. The transcript has 4 exons. The record is from RefSeq and is a predicted model, not a curated record. NCBI's taxonomy places the organism in Eukaryota, Metazoa, Chordata, Mammalia, Rodentia, Sciuridae.
GAGUUGUCAGAGCAGAGCCUCGGGAAACAGGACAGCCUGAUCUGGGAACUGGGUCUUGCAGCCAAUACCAAAUCUGCUUACCCUAGAACAUGCUAGCAAGGCAGCUGGUCUGGACUCAGGCAGGUCCCUCAGCAUCCUGGAGUUAUGCCCCCAACCACGUGCUGUCUCACCACCACACAGCAAAGCACCAUUGGCAUGAAAGGCAUGUGCAGAGAACAAUGCAGGCCACAAAAAAGAAGCUGAGAAGCCAAGGCCAAAAGAGGGUUGGCAGCAUGUGACUCUUCAUAACAAAAGGUUCAACAGACUUUUUACAGGAAUUGCCUCAUCAAGUCUGCAAGCGUUUCCAGCCAAACCCCAAGCUUCAGCUGGACUUCCACUCAACUGGAUGGGAUAAUGGAUUCCAGGUGCCUUUGCUCAGACUUGGAGACCAACUCUGUCCAGCAACCAUCCAUUUCAUGCCUCUGUCCAAAAGAUGCACAGGCCUGGCGUCUUCCGUUGAAAACAAUCUGCUUUACCAAGUUAAAUCCUCAUGCAUAAGGCACAGGUUUUACUUUAGAUUUCGGUUGUAAAGCUUUAAUCUACAGCUCUGGGAGCACAGAACCACCGGCAAUAAACUGGUCUUUAAAGGUUACAUCAUCAGAAUUAGCCUGAAUUCACAGGGCAAACAAGAGUAAUGUUGCACUUAAACUUCAGCCUGGCGGCAGCAGGAAA